AGCUUGAACAUAGAAUUGAAAAGAGAAACCCUUUAUUAUUUUAUAUCAUUGGCCUAUUUUUGGCAUUGCAUAUCGUUGUAGUUUGUUUAUUCAUAGAACUAGUUGUUUAUGAUCCCCUUUUGAAGUAAAAAAAUGCAGUAGAAGAGUGUUUAGAACCAGUUGCUUUAUUCAUUGAAUUUUUAUAGAAUCAGGUGUUUAUUAUAAAACAGUUUUUCCGGUUGAACCGGUUAAACCAAUGAAAUAGUGAACCAAUAACUAGAACGGUUAGAUGACCGGUACGGUUUUCUGAACCUUGCUUUGAACUUUGAAAACGGAAGACCAUGUGUGACCCCCCAGCCCCCUUCCUGAAUCAAAAAGCAACCCUAGCCUCCAAAAUCCAAAGGCUCAAAUGGCAACCCUAGCCUCCACCACCGCCGUCGUCUUCGUCGAGCAGCUGCAUCAUGGUAGCCGUCGUCUUCGUCUGCCCUCUGGUCGCUUUCGUCUUCGUCUGGCCUCUCGUUGCCGUUGUCCUCGUCUGCCCUCUGGUAGCCGUUGUCCUCGUCUGCCCUCUGGUCGCCGUCGUCUUCUUCUGCUCGCCGAAGGUCAGUGCUCAGUGCUCCCGUUGUCUCUUUUUUGCGUAGCGUGAACGCCGGCGUGCUUGUUCGCGGGUUCACGGUGAAGAACCCCCGCAGAACCACUAGCGCCACUCUCGUUCAUCGCGCCACCGUUCAUCGCACCUCCGUCCUCAUUGCCAUUCGGCACCCUGUCGCUGCCUUCAAUUACGGUAUCUUCUCCUUCCUCAUUCACCGAGGCACCGACCUCGGUGCCAUCGCUUUGCUCCGCCGUGCGACAACAGAUCCACAUUUCUCGGGUUAGAUUACGGUUGAACCGGUUAGACCAAUGAACCAGUAAACCAAUGAUUAGAGUUGUUCGAUGACCGGUUCGGUUUUCAGAACCUUGGAAAACCCCAUCCACCCCUCAAAUCAAAAUCUCAAUCGGAAAAAAAAAAAAAAAAAGACGAUGAGUUCAAGCGAUAAUACGAAUGCCAUUGCUGAAUGCACGAAGCAACUGAGGCGCCACGAAGUUGCCAUUGCUGAGCUCAACAACCUUCCCUCUUCCUCCGCUGUGUAUCAGAAAAAUUGCAACUUAUAUUUUCGCACAACCAUCCAGAAAGCAACAACAACUGAACAAAGUAAGAAUUAUUCACCUUUGACUCUGUUUUUCUCACAUGUUUUUAUGUAAUUCUUAGGAGAUACCCAUGUUUGAAGGUGCCAAACAAUUCUAAUAACAUAUUUUCCCCCUGAAUUUAUGUUGGUUAGAGCAACUAGAUUCAGUCAAAGCCAAGCUAAGAAAUCUGAAUCCUUCUUCGUAGUCUUGAAGCCUAAUUCUUUCUUGGUAAGUAACACAACAAUUUCCUGACCUAUGAGGGAGGGCAAUAAUGUAAUUAGGGGACUAUGUUCCAACUUGGAAGUUUCUUCUUUGUCCAAUUGCUAUGUAACGUGAAAUGCAUUUUACUAGUGAUGUUUGUUCUACACUACAAAAUGAACUCUUUAAUUGAAAUUUAUCCUUUAUGAAUUUUGUUUCAUUACCGACUCUUGA
This is a long non-coding RNA of Arachis stenosperma, 1578 nucleotides long. RefSeq lists it as uncharacterized. The transcript is spliced from 3 exons. The record is from RefSeq and is a predicted model, not a curated record. NCBI's taxonomy places the organism in Eukaryota, Viridiplantae, Streptophyta, Magnoliopsida, Fabales, Fabaceae.